AUGCAUGUCUAAGUACAAGCCUAAGCACGGCGAAACCGCGAAUGGCUCAUUAAAUCAGUUAUGGUUCCUUAGAUCGUGUUCUUUCCUACUUGGAUAACUGUAGUAAUUCUAGAGCUAAUACAUGCCUCGAAGCUCCGACCUCUUGAUUGAGGAAAGAGCGCUUUUAUUAGACCAAAACCAGUCGGCGUUCGGGGGCAACUCCGGCGUCGUCUACCCCAUUGGUGACUCUGGAUAACUUUGGGCUGAUCGCACGGCCUCCGCGCCGGCGACGUAUCUUUCAAAUGUCUGCCCUAUCAAGUUUCGACGGUCGGUGACUUGCCAACCGUGCUGGUGACGGGUAGCGGGGAAUCAGGGUUCGAUUCCGGAGAGGGAGCAUGAGA
Molecule: ribosomal RNA, 380 nt
Filed under: Spionidae sp. USNM IZ 1448419
Lineage: Eukaryota; Metazoa; Annelida; Polychaeta; Spionida; Spionidae
Description: SSU rRNA
Rfam family: Eukaryotic small subunit ribosomal RNA
Source: RNAcentral